Molecule: unclassified non-coding RNA, 268 nt
Filed under: Hevea brasiliensis (rubber tree)
Lineage: Eukaryota; Viridiplantae; Streptophyta; Magnoliopsida; Malpighiales; Euphorbiaceae
Source: RNAcentral
UCGGUCCAGACAAGUCCGAGUCCUUGUGCACAUCGGGCUUGACCCGGAACGGAUUCAAGAUCGACUUGGUUUUCUUCCAGAUUUGAUCCGGGUGGAUCCCGAGUUCAUCGAGGAGGGGUUCUUCGUCUUCGAAAUUAGCACCACCAGGGACAGACCCACCACCGAUAGGACCACCAUAGAUGCUGCCGGAAGAUGUAGAAGCAGCGGCGGCGGAUCCGAUGUCGAAUGACAUAAACGGAAUGCUGGAGCCAGUCGGGCGAGGAGGCUG